Molecule: ribosomal RNA, 253 nt
Filed under: uncultured bacterium
Lineage: Bacteria
Description: partial 16S ribosomal RNA
Rfam family: Bacterial small subunit ribosomal RNA
Source: RNAcentral
UACAGAGGUCUCAAGCGUUGUUCGGAAUUACUGGGCGUAAAGGGUGCGCAGGCCGCGCGGGCAGUCAAAUGUGUAAUCCAGGGGCUCAACCCCUGAACUGCGCUUGAUACUUCCGCGCUCGAGCUUUGGAGAGGAGUCUGGAAUUCUCGGUGUAGCAGUGAAAUGCGUGGAUAUCGAGAAGAACACUUAGGGCGUAGGCAGGACUCUGGACAAAUGCUGACGCUCAUGCACGAAGGCUAGGGUAGCGAACGGG